CAUCUAUUCAACCAUGUUGGAGUAGGCUAUACGAUCUUUUUAGUUCUGACCACAUAUGCUUCUUCCUUGGUCUGUUCACCAAGUCAUGGACACUGACUUAAAAAAUGAACAAUGCUACCCCUUCAGCUGCAGGUGCAGGGUUGACAGUGACAGCAGAUGGAGCUUCUCUGACCGCUACUGAAGACACCGCUGAACAGCUUAACCAGACAAAGACAAAGUGCUAUUAUGUAGGCAUGGUUUAAAAACUAUAGCCUUUGGCUUGUCAAGUAGCCUUGCCAAAGCGUUUGUGUAAUCUCUACAAGUGGUAUGAAGCAAAUUCUAUGUAUAUAACACACACGAUGCAGAUAAUAAUUAUAUAGAAGCAGAGAAUCAACCUUGCUAGAGCGUUUGUCAAAUCUCUACUCAAGUAGCCUUGCCAAACUUUAUCUGUUGUGUUCUUUACAUGUUGUUUCAGUA
Molecule: long non-coding RNA, 456 nt
Organism: Triticum dicoccoides
Lineage: Eukaryota; Viridiplantae; Streptophyta; Magnoliopsida; Poales; Poaceae
Exons: 3
Source: RefSeq, a predicted model, not a curated record